This 1496-nucleotide ribosomal RNA is filed under the name uncultured bacterium. RNAcentral's name for it is "16S ribosomal RNA". It matches the Rfam family "Bacterial small subunit ribosomal RNA". The record is from RNAcentral.
AGAGUUUGAUCCUGGCUCAGGAUGAACGCUAGCGGCAGGCUUAACACAUGCAAGUCGAGGGGCAGCGGGGAGGAAGCUUGCUUUCUCCGCCGGCGACCGGCGCACGGGUGAGUAACACGUAUGCAACCUGCCCCUGUCAGGGGGACAACCCGCCGAAAGGCGGGCUAAACCCGCGUACAUGCCACCGGGGCAUCCCGGAGGCAGGAAAGGCUUCGGCCGGACAGGGAUGGGCAUGCGGCGCAUUAGGCAGUAGGCGGGGUAACGGCCCACCUAACCGACGAUGCGUAGGGGUUCUGAGAGGAAGGUCCCCCACACUGGUACUGAGACACGGACCAGACUCCUACGGGAGGCAGCAGUGAGGAAUAUUGGUCAAUGGUCGGGAGACUGAACCAGCCAAGCCGCGUGAGGGAUGAAGGUACAGAGUAUCGUAAACCUCUUUUGUCAGGGAACAAAGGCGGGGACGUGUCCCCGGAUGAGUGUACCUGAAGAAAAAGCAUCGGCUAACUCCGUGCCAGCAGCCGCGGUAAUACGGAGGAUGCGAGCGUUAUCCGGAUUUAUUGGGUUUAAAGGGUGCGCAGGCGGUCUGUUAAGUCAGCGGUCAAAGCCCGGGGCUCAACCCCGGCCCGCCGUUGAAACUGGCAGUCUCGAGUUGGAGAGAAGUAUGCGGAAUGCGCGGUGUAGCGGUGAAAUGCAUAGAUAUCGCGCAGAACUCCGAUUGCGAAGGCAGCAUGCCGGCUCCACACUGACGCUGAGGCACGAAAGCGUGGGUAUCGAACAGGAUUAGAUACCCUGGUAGUCCACGCAGUAAACGAUGAAUGCUGGCUGUCCGGGGGGGAUUGACCCCUGGGUGGCGAAGCGAAAGCGAUAAGCAUUCCACCUGGGGAGUACGCCGGCAACGGUGAAACUCAAAGGAAUUGACGGGGGUCCGCACAAGCGGAGGAACAUGUGGUUUAAUUCGAUGAUACGCGAGGAACCUUACCCGGGCUCAAACGGGGAGUGACUCAGGCAGAGACGCCUGUUUCCCACGGGACACUCCCCGAGGUGCUGCAUGGUUGUCGUCAGCUCGUGCCGUGAGGUGUCGGCUUAAGUGCCAUAACGAGCGCAACCCCCGCGUGCAGUUGCUAACAGAUAACGCUGAGGACUCUGCACGGACUGCCGGCGCAAGCCGCGAGGAAGGCGGGGAUGACGUCAAAUCAGCACGGCCCUUACGUCCGGGGCGACACACGUGUUACAAUGGGUGGUACAGCGGGAAGCCAGGCGGCGACGCCGAGCGGAACCCGAAAUCCACUCUCAGUUCGGAUCGGAGUCUGCAACCCGACUCCGUGAAGCUGGAUUCGCUAGUAAUCGCGCAUCAGCCAUGGCGCGGUGAAUACGUUCCCGGGCCUUGUACACACCGCCCGUCAAGCCAUGGGAGCCGAGGGCGCUUGAAGUGCGUCGCCGCGAGGCGCGCCCUAGAGCGAAAUCGGUGACUGGGGCUAAGUCGUAACAAGGUAACC